GAGCCCGAGACCCAAGCUACCCGUCCCGUGGUCAGAACCACCCUGUGACCGGACUGCGGGCGUGACGCGUGAGCCGAGCAGGUAGCUGGCGAAUCCUGGAUGGUGGGAUGUGGAGGGUGUAGAUAGAUCUGCACGUGCACGGACUCGGCAGGGAGACCCACCUGAGAGCGCUCGGGAAGGGCCUGUCCCCACUGCAGGGAACCGAGGGCGUGAGUUGGAGGUCCACCUCGUUGGACGGCUGAGAGCAGGGAGACUCAGGAUGCUGCUACUGCAGUAUUCCUCAGGAGGGUUGUGAGGGGGCCAGUCGGCAACAGGAACAGGGCGUGGGGGAAGUGGUCAGAUUCCGGGUAGAUUCCUGCCGGCAUGGGGCUGAGUGAAAGACCAUCCCAAGUGUUUAGGAAGAAUGAGUUGCUGCCCUUGGAGAUCGGAGGUUGGCAGGAGGAGGCCGUUUUGGAGAUUAGCAGUUGGACUUUGUUGGUGUCGAGUCCCAAUUGUCUGGAGAACUGCGGGCCGAGGUGACAGACACGUGCCCAUGUGAACACACAGGGAGUCCCCGUUUGGCCUCUGGGUGUCCAGGCUGCAGUGCAGUGGUGGCGAGGACCAGGGAAGGGCCUGAGAAUGGGGCUUUGUAAGGCUGUGGUUACAGAUGGGCCCUGGGGUGUCCAGUCUAAGGACCGCUGGCUGGGUGGAGGA
Long non-coding RNA from Phyllostomus discolor (pale spear-nosed bat), 693 nucleotides. RefSeq lists it as uncharacterized. NCBI's taxonomy places the organism in Eukaryota, Metazoa, Chordata, Mammalia, Chiroptera, Phyllostomidae. The record is from RefSeq and is a predicted model, not a curated record. The transcript has 2 exons.